AACCCAAUAUGACCCCUAUCUCUUUAGCAUGAUCCGAACUUUUUAUAAAAACCCAAACUUGGUUCACAAUUUCUGCCCUGUAGUUCAUCAUCACUCCACUAGGAGGAGUGGAGGGCCAUUUUCUGCUCACUUCAAAAUGGCUGCCUCCGGGAAAACUUCUGUCCUUUUGGUGGGAACAUUUUUGCUAAUUUUCAAAACUUUAUGUCCAUCCUUGUGAUGAUCCCUGGGCUGAAGUCAGUGAGAGUUGGGGGCAUGAUGUCCAUCCACAACUCCUGGAUGUAGACCGACCACAAGAAUUGCGUUUGGACAAUCAACACCAGACUCCCAGUCAAAGGAUUGGGGUUACCUAAGAGACAGGCCUUCAAUGGGGACAAUCUGCUUUUCUACAAUUAACUCCCAAGUGACAGAAGGAAGGGAAGAGAGGGUGGCAAACUCACUGAAGAACGGAAGAGACUCGAGAAACAAGCAUGCUGAUGGGAAAUGAAGAAUGGUCAUUACAAAAAAAAAAAAAAGUGAAUAUCUUUUUAGUUCAGAUUCAGAAUAUUAAACCCUAAAAUGAUUCUCCUCAAGCUGUUUAGUUUCCCUUAACUGUUUAGAUAUAAAUAUUAAUUAUUUCAAUUCUCUUAAUUCUUUUUUCACCCAAACCACCUGCGAAGGGAAUCAAAUUUAUAUAUAUAUAUAUAUAUGUAUAUAUAUUUAAUUGAAUUCCAACUUAACCUCUAAAUAUUCAGCAGGGAUGACCAAUGGGUCUACAUGGUGAGAGGUGCAUAAAAGGGUGUGGCGUGGGAAUCUUUUCAGGGGUCAGGAGUGAGGGUGGAAAAGGUCAUGGGGUCAGAGCCAGCUGGACAGCACAUAAGAGGAGAUGAGGGUGAGAAAAGAAGGGGGGUUUGGGGGUGUCCAGGGCUGACUGACCACACGCAAAAGGACAUUAACAUUGAACUGAGGGAAAGCUCCAUGAUCAGUUUCCACAAGUGGCCAGAUUUCCAUUGUUGUUUGUGCAAAAUCGCCAAACGGAAUGCAACAAUGGAUCAAACACGACAUUCAAAAAAACUAAACUUCAGCCCUAAAAUAUAGUAUAAAAUGUGUAUAAUAUACAACCUUGGAGAAACUUUGAUAAACCAAAAAAAAACAUCUUUUUUUCUUAAGCUUCCCACCUAAUUUUAAACUAUUUAUUGUUUUUUAUGUUAAUUGUGCCUUUUUAAUGUAUAAUUACUUCUUAAAUGUCUUAUUUUAUUUCACAGUAUUUUCUUAAACCAUUUUUUUUUAAUUUAAGCUAGAUUUGUAUCAUAAAAAGUUAAAAGCAAGCACAUUUGAAGCAAACAAUGCUAAAAAGCUGCCAAAGCUGCACUCACAGUGUUGCACAGGAUGACAAACAUACAGUUCUGCAUACUAAAAGAGCUUAAAAGUGUCUACAGUUUUAUUUUGGAGAGGUUUCUUUUCAUACUGCUACAUAAUACCUGGUCAGUAAGGGAAAAAAACAGUAUAAUUUGAAGUCAAAGGAAGCAGGGUGGUCCCAAAAAAGGCUGAUCCAGCAAAUCAUCUGUACAAAAAAGCUUAAUGCAAAUAACACAAGGGAGAUCACUUUUUUCCUGAUUUUUUUAUUCUGACAAAAACACACAACUCCACAUGACAUUUUCCAAGCAACCAGCUGUAUGUUACUUAAUUUACUCUAAGAAUUGAGUC
Oryzias melastigma (Indian medaka) is the source of this 1683-nucleotide long non-coding RNA. RefSeq lists it as uncharacterized. The transcript is spliced from 3 exons. The record is from RefSeq and is a predicted model, not a curated record. NCBI's taxonomy places the organism in Eukaryota, Metazoa, Chordata, Actinopteri, Beloniformes, Adrianichthyidae.